GUUUGCACUUGUCGGGGAAGGGUGAGAACCUUCGAUUAAGGUUCGACUCGAGCGAAAGCGAGAGAACGUUGCCAACGGCAACGGCCCGUAGGGUGAGGAGCGAAGCGACGAAUAAUCAUUCCCCCACCACCA
This 132-nucleotide small RNA is filed under the name Salmonella enterica. RNAcentral's name for it is "RtT sRNA". It matches the Rfam family "RtT RNA". From Rfam's summary of the family: This family represents a bacterial cis-regulatory element known as RtT RNA. The exact function of RtT is unknown although it is thought that it may be involved in changing the cellular response in relation to amino acid starvation. Lineage: Bacteria; Pseudomonadati; Pseudomonadota; Gammaproteobacteria; Enterobacterales; Enterobacteriaceae. RNAcentral also lists the same sequence under 1 other name. The record is from RNAcentral.